UCGAGCGAGGCGGGGUAGCAAUACCCCAGUCGAGCGGCGAACGGGCGAGUAACGCGUGGAUGACCUGCCCUUCAGCGGGGAAUAACCCGGGGAAACUCGGGCUAAUACCGCAUACGACCGGAAGGUGAAAGGGGGCCGCAAGGCUCUUACUGAAGGAGGGGUCCGCGUCCGAUUAGCUAGUUGGUAGGGUAAUGGCCUACCAAGGCGACGAUCGGUAGCCGGCCUGAGAGGGUGAUCGGCCACACUGGAACUGAGACACGGUCCAGACUCCUACGGGAGGCAGCAGUGGGGAAUUUUGCGCAAUGGGCUAACGCCUGACGCAGCAACGCCGCGUGGAGGAUGAAGGUCUUUGGAUUGUAAACUCCUGUCAGCAGGGAAAAAGGGACUGGGCCGAAUACGUCCGGAACUUGAUUGUACCUGCAGAGGAAGCCCCGGCUAACUCUGUGCCAGCAGCCGCGGUAAUACAGAGGGGGCAAGCGUUA
Molecule: ribosomal RNA, 482 nt
Filed under: uncultured bacterium
Lineage: Bacteria
Description: bacterial SSU rRNA
Rfam family: Bacterial small subunit ribosomal RNA
Source: RNAcentral